CAGCCGCCGCGGUAAUACGGAGGGUGCAAGCGUUAAUCGGAAUUACUGGGCGUAAAGCGUGCGUAGGCGGUUCGUUAAGUCUGUUGUGAAAGCCCCGGGCUCAACCUGGGAAUGGCAGUGGAUACUGGCUCGCUAGAGUGUGUCAGAGGAUGGUGGAAUUCCCGGUGUAGCGGUGAAAUGCGUAGAGAUCGGGAGGAACAUCAGUGGCGAAGGCGGCCAUCUGGGACAACACUGACGCUGAGGCACGAAAGCGCGGGGAGCAAACAGGAUUAGAUACCCCUGUAGUCCCUGUCUCUUAUAC
This 301-nucleotide ribosomal RNA is filed under the name uncultured bacterium. Its description in RNAcentral is "partial 16S ribosomal RNA". It matches the Rfam family "Bacterial small subunit ribosomal RNA", at positions 509 to 807 of the family's 1533-position model. The record is from RNAcentral.